Molecule: ribosomal RNA, 236 nt
Filed under: uncultured bacterium
Lineage: Bacteria
Description: partial 16S ribosomal RNA
Rfam family: Bacterial small subunit ribosomal RNA
Source: RNAcentral
GAUCAUGGCUCGGGAUGAACGCUAGCGACAGGCCUAACACAUGCAAGUCGAGGGGCAGCGGAGAGGUAGCAAUACCUUUGCCGGCGACCGGCGCACGGGUGAGUAACACGUAUGCAAUCCACCUGUAACAGGGGGAUAACCCGGAGAAAUCCGGACUAAUACCCCAUAAUAUGGGCUCUCCGCAUGGAGAGCCCAUUAAAGAGAGCAAUUUUGGUUACAGACGAGCAUGCGCUCCA